Molecule: long non-coding RNA, 1123 nt
Organism: Canis lupus familiaris (dog)
Lineage: Eukaryota; Metazoa; Chordata; Mammalia; Carnivora; Canidae
Exons: 3
Source: RefSeq, a predicted model, not a curated record
CUUUACCACUUUUGGUAAAAAAAAAAAAAAAAAAGAAAGAAAGAAAAGAAAAGAAAAGAAAAGAAAAGAAAAGAAAAGAAAAGAAAAGAAAAAAGACUUCCAUCCAUUGAAGUUAUGUUUUCUUGUAGACUUACACAAAUGCCUAAGAAACCGAAUCUCCUUUGAGGAUGGACGUGGUUGCAGCACAAUAGUCAGCACACAGAAAGCCUCGAUUAGGUUUGUUUGCAUGGUUUCGAAGGUUCCAGGCAAUGAACAACCAAUGAAAGAAAAAUAAAACUCUGAUCACGUGGAUCUUUGUGAGAGUUAAUUGCCUCUUGGUGUGUGCACAGAACCAACGGUAAAUUCCUCUCUCCGGCUCAUCCUCCUUUUCCUAAUCUUGGGUCAUUUUUUAUGACUUGAUCUGAAUCAUAUGCACUGCUUGGGUUCAAGGCAAUUGCCCAACAUCCCCCCAGAGUCCAGAGGCACAGAUGGGUCCCAGGAAGUGGGAAAUGCUCCAGCCGUACCCAGAUCAACUUCUGCUUACAAACAGAGAGCAAAAGCUCCCCGGCAGGCCCGUGAUGGCUGGAGCCCCCGUCCCCCUGACCCCUUCCUUAGCCGACGGAGCUGCUGAAGACGUGCUGCUGGCCACGCUGAAGCCAACUCAAAGGCCUUGCAAGAGCAAGAAGUUCCAUGGCAUCUUCCCUGUGGACACAACAUCACCAAGCUCAGGCCAGAGGAUGCCCACUGACCUGCCAUGAUGGUUCAAACACCUGCCACCAUUGGGGGACCAGCUGCUUCCUUUCAGGUGAGAAAUGAAUCUGCCGCGUGCAAGGUGCCCUCUUGUCCUCGGAGAGAGGGAGACAUCCUUAUCACCACAGAUGGGACAUGCGGAGCCCAGAGGGCUGGAUAAACAGAGCUCUUUACUCCUUAGGAAUUUACUACCCCCACCCCCGCUCACAUUCUGUUUAGAAUUCCUGACUAACUGGGGCUCCCAAAGUGACAUUCUCUGUCUUGUCCAUAACUCACGAGAUUUAUUAUCUCUUUGAAAAGCAUCAACACUGCCCACCUUGCUUAGUUCUUUACGUCUUAAUCUCAUUGUUGGACCUCCAUGCUCACGGAAUAAAACUUUGGGUUUUGUUUUGUU